GUCCCCGUCCCUGUCCCCGACCCCGUUCCUGUCCCCGUCCCCGUCCCCAGGGUGCCCCCCGUCCCCAGCGCCCCAUCCCCUCGUGUUUCAGGGAGCGCAUGACGGCGUCCGAGUGCCUCGUCCACCCCUGGAUCAAGGUGAGAGGGAGCUGGGGGGGGAGCAGGGCUGGGGCUGGGUCCCCCCCGGGUCCCCCCCCCAUCCCCGGGCACCGUGUACCAGGGGAGGGGGCGUGGGGACGAUGCCCGGCUUCGCCCCCCGCAGCCCCUGAGCAGGAAGCAGGCGGCGAAGCGGAGCCGCUCCUCCAUCAACAUGAAAAACUUCCGCAAGUUCAACGCCCGGAGGAAGUGGAAGCGCGGCUGCGAGAGCGAGCAGGAGGACGAGGGCAGCCACCCCGCCACGCUGCUGCGCCGGCGGAGAAGCAGCUGCUCCUGAGCCCCCCCCUUGGGGGGGGGGCCCCAAAAAGGGGCCUCUCCGGAAGGGGGGCUUCGGAGGGGGGGCCCCCCCAUUGGGGUGGGACCCCCCCAUUCCGGUGGCUUCGAGCACCUGGGAGCUGGGGCUGCUGCCCGGCCCCAGUGCUCCCAGUCCCGCGGUGCUGGAGGGGCGCUGGGGCAGUGCCCCCGGACCGGGCUCUGCUGCUGGACCCCCCCCCCCGCGGCGCCCCCCCCCCCGUCCCCCGAGCUGGCCCCCCGAAAUAAACGUCCCCCCCAUCCUCGUGUCCUGCAUCCACGCCGGCUUCCUCCUGCUCCUCCUCCUCCUCCUCCCCGCAGCCGGCACCUUGGGGACCCCCACGGGGCGCAGACCCCAUGCCCAAAGGAGCCCCAUGGGGAAACUGAGGCACGGCGCAUU
This 846-nucleotide long non-coding RNA is filed under the name Anas platyrhynchos platyrhynchos (common mallard). Its description in RNAcentral is "lncRNA (ENSAPLG00000023686.1)". The record is from RNAcentral. Lineage: Eukaryota; Metazoa; Chordata; Aves; Anseriformes; Anatidae.